Molecule: ribosomal RNA, 468 nt
Filed under: uncultured bacterium
Lineage: Bacteria
Description: partial 16S ribosomal RNA
Rfam family: Bacterial small subunit ribosomal RNA
Source: RNAcentral
GACGAACGCUGGCGGCGUGCUUAACACAUGCAAGUCGAACGGAAAGGCCCUGCUUUUGUGGGGUGCUCGAGUGGCGAACGGGUGAGUAACACGUGAGUAACCUGCCCUUGACUUUGGGAUAACUUCAGGAAACUGGGGCUAAUACCGGAUAGGAGCUCCUGCUGCAUGGGGGGGGUUGGAAAGUUUCGGCGGUUGGGGAUGGACUCGCGGCUUAUCAGCUUGUGGGGGGGGUAGUGGCUUACCAAGGCUUUGACGGGUAGCCGGCCUGAGAGGGUGACCGGCCACAUUGGGCCUGAGAUACGGCCCAGACUCCUACGUGAGGCAGCAGUGGGGAAUAUUGCACAAUGGGCGGAAGCCUGAUGCAGCAACGCCGCGUGCGGGAUGACGGCCUUCGGGUUGUAAACCGCUUUCGCCUGUGACGAAGCGUGAGUGACGGUAAUGGGUAAAGAAGCACCGGCUAACUACGUG